GGUAUUUUGACUAUGCGAAGGUAUUGAAAUAAGGCUUUAAAUGAGUGCUAAGAGAAUGGUUUAACAAUUUUAAGCUUUCUUUAAUUAAAAAAUUGAAUUUAAUUUUUUUUGUGAAGAAGCAAAAAUUUAAAUUAGGGACAAGAAGACCCUAUGAAUUUUGAAUUAAACAAUAUAAUUUGUAUAGGUUUAUUUUGUUUAAAUUAAUUGGGGUGAUUUGGAAAGAAUAUGUAUCUUUUUAAGAAAAUUAAUUUGUUCCGUUUUUAACGAUUUUAUGAAAAAAAUACUCUAGGGAUAACAGCGUAAUAAUUUUGGAUAGUUCAUAUAGAUAAAAUAGUUUGCGACCUCGAUGUUGGAUUAGGAUUCUUUUUUAGUGAAGAAAUUAAAGAGAAGAAGUUUGUUCAACUUUUAAAUUCCU
This 415-nucleotide ribosomal RNA is filed under the name Ixodes ariadnae. RNAcentral describes it as "partial large subunit ribosomal RNA". Lineage: Eukaryota; Metazoa; Arthropoda; Arachnida; Ixodida; Ixodidae. The record is from RNAcentral.